AUGAUGCUGUGGAGAGAGAUUCAUUCAAAAACAUUUUCUUCCCUAAUCCACCCAUAACUAUAGUAACCUGAUUCCCUUUUCAAACACUUCUAGCUGAUAAGUAGAGACGUUCAGGUUUGAUUGAGUAUACAUUUCUGUAUAAAGAUACGGCAGCAUGUUAGUGUCUUCAUCAAUUAACUUCAUAACCUGUAUUUCUUGGUGUCUGCUUUACAAUUUUGUAUGGUAUAGAUCUAUUACAUAGCUUGGUGGUUGUGGUAGCUGGUUGGUGCUGUCCCAAGAUGGUGGCUUGGGACUUAGCCUGCGCUAUCGACCAAUCCAUUACUAUUGAAGAUGUAUUCUCGUUUAUCGACCAAUCCCUGCCUGGUUACUGUCCAGGACUAGUCGAA
Molecule: long non-coding RNA, 386 nt
Filed under: Olea europaea (common olive)
Lineage: Eukaryota; Viridiplantae; Streptophyta; Magnoliopsida; Lamiales; Oleaceae
Description: long non-coding RNA (OEUR_LNC006698)
Source: RNAcentral